Molecule: ribosomal RNA, 253 nt
Filed under: uncultured bacterium
Lineage: Bacteria
Description: partial 16S ribosomal RNA
Rfam family: Bacterial small subunit ribosomal RNA
Source: RNAcentral
UACGUAGGGGGCAAGCGUUGUCCGGAUUUAUUGGGCGUAAAGAGCGUGUAGGCGGCUAGGUAGGUCCGUUGUGAAAACUCGAGGCUCAACCUCGAGACGUCGAUGGAAACCAUCUAGCUAGAGUCCGGAAGAGGAGAGUGGAAUUCCUGGUGUAGCGGUGAAAUGCGUAGAGAUCAGGAAGAACACCGGUGGCGAAGGCGGGUCUCUGGGCCGAUACUGACGCUGAGGAGCGAAAGCGUGGGGAGCGAACAGG